UGGUCCAAAGGCUGCCAGAGACCAGCUCAGGACACGAAGAGAAACACAGUGUGGAUGAACAUUGGCCUGCACUGAUCCAGAAAGUGGACACUAUGGCGUCUGUCAUAGAGCUGCUUUUGGAAACACUGGCUGCUUUGAGAGAAGAUGAGCUCAAAAAUUUCAAGUUGGUCCUCUUGC
Molecule: long non-coding RNA, 177 nt
Organism: Centropristis striata (black sea bass)
Lineage: Eukaryota; Metazoa; Chordata; Actinopteri; Perciformes; Serranidae
Exons: 3
Source: RefSeq, a predicted model, not a curated record